Molecule: long non-coding RNA, 1196 nt
Organism: Scophthalmus maximus (turbot)
Lineage: Eukaryota; Metazoa; Chordata; Actinopteri; Pleuronectiformes; Scophthalmidae
Exons: 2
Source: RefSeq, a predicted model, not a curated record
AUUGUAUUGCAGGUUUAGUUUUAAUACCAACCAAUUGCCAUUCAAUAAGCCAUAAUGAUAAAUGUUAUAACAAGUUGUGGCAAAUGUAUUGAUAAUUAAAAACUGUAAUUUCUCAUUGAGAAAGGUAUUAUGACUAGCUUCGUGUGGCACUCCAAAUUUUGGUCACGAGCAUCCUCUUUGCUUUAAAGGACCAUGCUGAUUUUCAACAUUAUCUCAAUCACUCCAAAUUUGGGAUAUAUUAUGGACAACAACAACAGUUUUUUAAUGUUCUAUGAGUCUCUGGGACUUAAAAAUCUAUGGUUCUUCUGGAAACCAGUGACAUCAUUGGUUGUCCGAAGAACCAACGGCUGGGAAUGUAGGAUGCGUUCUCUAGAUGCUGCUCAAAAUCCACCAAUUGCUAUAUUUUCAACUGUCAUUUUUUUAAUAUGAGUGCGGAGGAUGUUAAGGACAGGGAUAUGUUUUACCAUGUGUUGGCUGAGGGUCGGUCGGGGUAUUUACUUGAGUAUACAGCAAAAGAAAUGCAGCACGCAGAGCAAGAGUCAAUCCGGUGGAGAGAGGUCGAGGCUACAGCUGCAUUGGAUACGGCAAAAGGAUACGGCCGGAGGGGACCAUCCAGAAACUGAGCUGCCGAGAGCAAACAGUGACUGUUGGUGCCUUUGAUCAUACUGCUCUCCGAUGCCAACAGAGACAGAAUCAUUGUGCAGCCGUGGAUUUCAGCAUGGGCUGUUUUUGGUUGAACUCCGUUGCUGAUGCCAACCCCCCGAGGGAGCCUGUGUGUGCCUUCCUCAAAGAUCCCAAAGAUAAAUUGGAAAAGACAACCAGGACCAGCAGGACCAAGAGGCCAGAUGACCAUUGAUGACCUGUUGGAUGCGGUUGAUGCGUCGCUCGUCCGUCUCUGCGAUGAACAGUGUUCCCAGGUGGGACAGGGCGAUGGCUUUGGCAGCCUCCAGAGUGGCUCGCACUGCUGCCCGGCUCACCAGGUGGUGGUCAAUACCUGGCACCUGGCAGUGGAUGGGACGUCCAGCCACGAUGCGCACUUGAAGACUUUCUGACACCUAAAGGAAAAGACCGCCAUGUAUUAGCUAUGCAGAACACUUAUAUCAGCUGUUCCUUUUAAUUAAUGUUGGUCAAAAAAAACAACAGACAAUGACAAUAAAGUUUUGAUGAUCCAGUGCAUCAAACUGUAAGAGCCCUAA